GUCGACGAUGAAGGGAAGCUUGCUUCUUGGAUUAGUGGCGGACGGGUGAGUAACACGUGAGUAACCUGCCCUUGACUCUGGGAUAAGCACUGGAAACGGUGUCUAAUACCGGAUACGAACUUCCACCGCAUGGUGAGGAGUUGGAAAGAAUUUCGGUCAAGGAUGGACUCGCGGCCUAUCAGCUAGUUGGUGAGGUAAUGGCUCACCAAGGCGACGACGGGUAGCCGGCCUGAGAGGGUGACCGGCCACACUGGGACUGAGACACGGCCCAGACUCCUACGGGAGGCAGCAGUGGGGAAUAUUGCACAAUGGGCGAAAGCCUGAUGCAGCAACGCCGCGUGAGGGACGAAGGCCUUCGGGUUGUAAACCUCUUUUAGUAGGGAAGAAGCGAAAGUGACGGUACCUGCAGAAAAAGCACCGGCUAACUACGUGCCAGCAGCCGCGGUAAUACGUAGGGUGCAAGCGUUGUCCGGAAUUAUUGGGCGUAAAGAGCUCGUAGGCGGUUUGUCGCGUCUGCUGUGAAAUCCCGAGGCUCAACCUCGGGCCUGCAGUGGGUACGGGCAGACUAGAGUGCGGUAGGGGAGAUUGGAAUUCCUGGUGUAGCGGUGGAAUGCGCAGAUAUCAGGAGGAACACCAAUGGCGAAGGCAGAUCUCUGGGCCGUUACUGACGCUGAGGAGCGAAAGCGUGGGGAGCAAACAG
RNAcentral lists this ribosomal RNA (700 nucleotides) under uncultured bacterium. RNAcentral's name for it is "bacterial SSU rRNA". It matches the Rfam family "Bacterial small subunit ribosomal RNA", at positions 61 to 775 of the family's 1533-position model. The record is from RNAcentral.